GCAGCUUCCCCUUUAGCUCUGCCUCCCAGCCCUGCAUCCUGGGGACCAGGCCAGCGAGCUUGGUGAGGGGGUGCGGGGCUGGAGAGAGAUGUUGGCUGCAGCGUGUGGCUUGUUGAGAUCCUUGUGUUCAUGAGUCAGUUCGGCUAAGUUUAGUGCUGGCUUCUGCCGCAGAACAGAUGGACAGUGAGAGCAAAGAUAUUCUGCUUGACUCUAGCCUGGCACGACCCCAUCCAAGUGGUCAGCCAGCUCUGAGCUGACACAGACACAGGCGUGGAGCUGUGCUUCUGGGUCCUGGCAAUGGCAGGCAGAGGACAGGAAUCCAUGACUGCCCCUCAUUCCUUCUCCGCUCAUUCAUUCAGACGCUUUCAGCGAGCACCUGUUAUACAAAGGCAACAGUGAUGGAGGCCAACUGCAGAUGACGUAAGCCGUUCAGUGGCUCUCGAUGCCAUGUGC
Molecule: long non-coding RNA, 453 nt
Filed under: Sus scrofa (pig)
Lineage: Eukaryota; Metazoa; Chordata; Mammalia; Artiodactyla; Suidae
Description: lncRNA (ENSSSCG00060057625.1)
Source: RNAcentral